UACGGGGGGGGGCAAGCGUUGUUCGGAAUUACUGGGCGUAAAGGGCUCGUAGGUGGCCAACUAAGUCAGACGUGAAAUCCCUCGGCUUAACCGGGGAACUGCAUCUGAUACUGGAUGGCUUGAGUUUGGGAGAGGGAUGCGGAAUUCCAGGUGUAGCGGUGAAAUGCGUAGAUAUCUGGAGGAACACCGGUGGCGAAGGCGGGUCUCUGGGCCGAUACUGACGCUGAGGAGCGAAAGCGUGGGGAGCGAACAGG
This 254-nucleotide ribosomal RNA is filed under the name uncultured bacterium. RNAcentral's name for it is "partial 16S ribosomal RNA". It matches the Rfam family "Bacterial small subunit ribosomal RNA", at positions 524 to 776 of the family's 1533-position model. The record is from RNAcentral.